This 472-nucleotide ribosomal RNA is filed under the name uncultured bacterium. Its description in RNAcentral is "bacterial SSU rRNA". It matches the Rfam family "Bacterial small subunit ribosomal RNA", at positions 355 to 825 of the family's 1533-position model. The record is from RNAcentral.
UGGGGAAUUUUGGACAAUGGGCGCAAGCCUGAUCCAGCCAUGCCGCGUGCGGGAAGAAGGCCUUCGGGUUGUAAACCGCUUUUGUCAGGGAAGAAACGCUCUGGGCUAAUACCCUGGGGUAAUGACGGUACCUGAAGAAUAAGCACCGGCUAACUACGUGCCAGCAGCCGCGGUAAUACGAAGGGGGCUAGCGUUGUUCGGAAUUACUGGGCGUAAAGCGCGCGUAGGCGGUCGUAUAAGUCGGAUGUGAAAGCCCUUGGCUCAACCAAGGAACUGCGUCCGAUACUGUACGGCUUGAGGCUGGUAGGGGGUAGCGGAAUUCCCGGUGUAGCGGUGGAAUGCGUAGAUAUCGGGAGGAACACCGAUGGCGAAAGCGGCUACCUGGGCCAGAUCUGACGCUGAGGCGCGAAAGCUAGGGGAGCAAACAGGAUUAGAUACCCGCGUAGUCCCUGAGCGGGCUGGCAAGGCGCAU